Molecule: non-coding RNA, 28 nt
Filed under: Bombyx mori (domestic silkworm)
Lineage: Eukaryota; Metazoa; Arthropoda; Insecta; Lepidoptera; Bombycidae
Source: RNAcentral
GGCUGUCUGUCCAAGCAUACACAGUGUU